RNAcentral lists this ribosomal RNA (466 nucleotides) under uncultured bacterium. RNAcentral's name for it is "partial 16S ribosomal RNA". It matches the Rfam family "Bacterial small subunit ribosomal RNA", at positions 36 to 507 of the family's 1533-position model. The record is from RNAcentral.
GCCUCCCUCUUUCUUCGUGCUUAACACAUGCAAGUCGAACGGAAAGGCUCCUGCUUGCAGGGGUACUCGAGUGGCGAACGGGUGAGUAACACGUGGGUGAUCUGCCCUGCACUUCGGGAUAAGCCUGGGAAACUGGGUCUAAUACCGGAUAGGACGAUGGUUUGGAUGCCAUUGUGGAAAGUUUUUUCGGUGUGGGAUGAGCUCGCGGCCUAUCAGCUUGUUGGAGGGGUAAUGGCCUACCAAGGCGUCGACGGGUAGCCGGCCUGAGAGGGUGUACGGCCACAUUGGGACUGAGAUACGGCCCAGACUCCUACGGGAGGCAGCAGUGGGGAAUAUUGCACAAUGGGCGCAAGCCUGAUGCAGCGACGCCGCGUGGGGGAUGACGGCCUUCGGGUUGUAAACUCCUUUCGCUAGGGACGAAGCGCAAGUGACGGUACCUGGAGAAGAAGCACCGGCUAACUACGUG